This 460-nucleotide ribosomal RNA is filed under the name uncultured bacterium. RNAcentral describes it as "partial 16S ribosomal RNA". It matches the Rfam family "Bacterial small subunit ribosomal RNA", at positions 338 to 795 of the family's 1533-position model. The record is from RNAcentral.
CCUACGGGGAGCAGCAGUGAGGAAUAUUGGUCAAUGGACGAGAGUCUGAACCAGCCAAGUAGCGUGAAGGAUGACUGCCCUAUGGGUUGUAAACUUCUUUUAUAUGGGAAUAAAAUGUUCCACGUGUGGGAUUUUGUAUGUACCAUAUGAAUAAGGAUCGGCUAACUCCGUGCCAGCAGCCGCGGUAAUACGGAGGAUCCGAGCGUUAUCCGGAUUUAUUGGGUUUAAAGGGAGCGUAGGUGGAUUGUUAAGUCAGUUGUGAAAGUUUGCGGCUCAACCGUAAAAUUGCAGUUGAAACUGGCAGUCUUGAGUACAGUAGAGGUGGGCGGAAUGCGUGGUGUAGCGGUGAAAUGCUUAGAUAUCACGAAGAACUCCGAUUGCGAAGGCAGUUCACUGGACUGCAACUGACACUGAGGCUCGAAAGUGUGGGUAUCAAACAGGAUUAGAUACCCGGGUAGUC